GACGAACGCUGGCGGCGUGCUUAACACAUGCAAGUCGAGCGGUAAGGCCCUUUCGGGGGUACACGAGCGGCGAACGGGUGAGUAACACGUGGGUGACCUGCCCUCAGCUCUGGGAUAAGCCCGGGAAACUGGGUCUAAUACUGGAUAUGACUCCACGGUGCAUGCCGUGGGGUGGAAAGCCUUGUGCGGCUGAGGAUGGGCCCGCGGCCUAUCAGCUUGUUGGUGGGGUGANGGCCUACCAAGGCGACGACGGGUAGCCGGCCUGAGAGGGCGACCGGCCACACUGGGACUGAGACACGGCCCAGACUCCUACGGGAGGCAGCAGUGGGGAAUCUUGCGC
RNAcentral lists this ribosomal RNA (340 nucleotides) under uncultured bacterium. RNAcentral describes it as "bacterial SSU rRNA". It matches the Rfam family "Bacterial small subunit ribosomal RNA", at positions 28 to 369 of the family's 1533-position model. The record is from RNAcentral.